AAGGUUCCCCACAUAUUGAUCAAGUAUUUUUGGCAAAAUUCUGGUACAGCUGGGCCAUAAUUCCGGUACAGCUGGUCUAUUUGCAAGCUUUCUUUUCUUUUCGAAGUUCCGGUACAGCUGGCUCAUUAGAUUACAGGCAAGGCCCAACAGAGUUUUUUCAAUGCAAAUUAAUUUAUUACAGAAUUAGUACCAUCUCGAGUAUAGUAGACGAAAUAAAAGUUGAGGUAAAUCUUUCCCUAAUUUCCUUAAUAAUAAUAAACCAGCUAUUGCUUCUGGUCGUUAGCAAGUUUUGCAACAAAGCCCUUCUAUUGUUCAGAAAACAACCCGCAGUCUCUGUUUAAGUGAAUACUAAAAAACGAUUCGUUUUUGCACAAAACACCCUGUCGUAUGGAGUAUUCAGCCCGCGGUUCGCGUAGAUUUGUAAAGAAAAAAAAACGACCACAGGAGGACCACGGGCUCGCCUCCUCCCCCUCUCACCCACGCCGCCGCCGCCACCACCCACGCCGGCUGCUUCCGGCGACCUCCGACGCCGCGCAGCACGCCCCCGAGCUCCCCACGGUCCGCGCCUCCCUCCCCUCCGGCCAGAUUCUCCGCUCCGGUCCUCUACCGCCCGCUCGCAACCCCACCCCCGUGGCUAGGGUUUCGGGCAGGGCUUCGCCGGCGCGUCUCCGGCGGACCCAGAAGAUGAAGAAACAGUUUCAUGUUUUGAUGCCUUGAAGUGUUGGUUCAUUGAUUAACUAUCUCACUUAUGUUGUGGGAGGAGCAGAUGAGCCAAACCAUCGAUUUUGUAUUCUUCUGACCCGGGGUUUGCCUUCCAUACCCCGGAAUUUUUUGUGAGUGUCAUGGGGAUAUCUGCCUCGGAAAAUCAGGUUGCUGAAAUCACCAACGAAACUGAUGGUAAGAAAGUAGACCCGAGCAAGACCGAUAUAACCCCCGGAAUGCAGGGUGAGGAGGAACAUAACAAACUCUCCGGGAAGGAAACUGCUCUAUGAUACAGACAACAAAGAAGAAGAUGAAGAGGGUAACAGUAGAAGCCGGAACCUAACAAUCACCGCUGCAAAGUAUGAGGAGGUGUUUGAAGAAGCUCACCCCGCCAUUCCCACCAAGCAGGUUGAAAACAAAUGCCCCAAGCAAUACACCAACUGAUCGAGCUACACAAAUUUCCCCACACAAGUCACAAGAGGCUGUGUACCUCUUCGGUACAGGCUACUGGUACCAGCCAGAACACCUCGAGAUGGUUUGUGAUGAGUUUCUGCUCUAGGAAUGGCUGGGCGCUGCUGCUCGAGAGAUAGGCGUUGAUUGCUGCAAUUUAGGGCUUGAUUGAGCUGCUGCUAGAAAGAGAGAGAGAACAGAGAGGGAGAGACAGGGUUCCAAUGCUUACUGAUCUGGUUUUGGUGAGCAAAAAAUGAGAAAUAGGAGAGGAACAGAGAGAGCAGAGAGAUAGAGAGCGCAGAGAGAGAGGCACACAUCACUGAACCCUUUGGAUUCUAAUGCAAGGUUGAAUAAUUUUUGUGUAUUCUAACUCUCUGGGCCAAUAUGCAGUUUUUUGGCUUAUCAUUGUGCCUCAAGUUUCUGACAUCGCGUGGCUGUACACCGACGACUUUCGCCGAUAAUCCGUCUGCUCGUACUCGACCGUUCGCUGGAACUUUGUCUGACCUGAGGUACAUACUACGGUGUCAUCAAUUGCAUCUGUCAUCAAAGACUACUUAUUAAUUUUGUAUGUUCUUUAGUAUAUGCUCUUUAAGCUCUGAACAAGUCAAUGCCUGAAAUACCACAUGUAGUCAUUACAAGAUGAUCUUCGGGAAAGACAAUAAUUACAUGUAGCGAUCAAAGGAUAUAAAGCUAGCUAAAUUUUUAUCUAGGAAGAACAGCUGCUGUAUGACAGGAAAAAUUUAAGAAAAGAUAAACUAAUAUCAUGGUGAUGGCAUUAAUUGACUAUUUUGUAAGUAGCAAUCAAAGGUGAUAAAGGUAGCAAAUUUUUUAUCUAGGAAGAACAGCUGUUGUGACAGAGAAAUGAAAGCUAAAUAUAUACAAGUAUAUACUUGUUCGUGUCUAUCAAUUUAAUUUCAUGAGUAUUUCAAAUUCAUUCUUCUUACUUCUUCAGAUAAUACAGUAUAUGCUACUUUUGUUCAGGUAUAUACUUCUUUUUACCACUUUUACUUUUUCUCAGCGGAUUCAUGCAUGCUUCUCCUCAUAGGUUUCCCUUAGUUCAGUACUUAAUUUUUUUGGUGUAUACUUUCUCCUCGUCAGAGUAUACGUACAACAAGACAGAAAGAAACAUAUACUGUUGAUCGAUACUGAAAUAUCAUAUGGAAGAUAGCCCUCUCUUCUAUACCCCAUUGUGUGAAAAGUAGUAUACUAUCAAUUGAAAACACACCAUAUACUCCUUUCAGACAAUGAGUAUACACUGAUCGUUAUUGCCAGUAUCAUAGGUAUAUACUCUGAGAAUAGUUGUAUAUAUCCCAUUUGAAAAUAUAAAUAUGUAUAUACUCCUUGCAAACUACUCAUCAUUUAAACGUUUUUACAUAAGAUUGUCCGUCUAGAUACAAUAACUAAUUAGUAUUUUAAUAACUUAAAUUGCAUGGCUUGAUCGUCUGCUUGAGUCUUCUCUUAUGUAUGAGUGCACCAUGUGUGGGUUAAUUUUUUUUGGGUCUUCUAAUUCUCUGCGGUAAUUUGCAUCUAUAUUUGUGCUAAUUGGCAAGGUGCAUGAAUAAUGAUUUAUCUAAGUUUUUUGCUUAAUGGAAAGGCCUUUUCAGUUAAAAAAACCCUACUGAUUUGAUCAACAGAACAUGCGUCUGUUUUUAAAUAGCUGAAUUUCUACUUAUUUAAUUGACUAUUGUGGUGUCAAGAUCCAAUAGCCUUGCUAUUAGUUAAUGCUCUAUUUAUAUUUUCUUCCAACAAAACAAAUGUAUGUUUACAGCAAAAAAACUCGUCAUUUCCAGCAAAAACAAUGGCUCGCUGUCACCAGGUCGCAGCAAAAGUUUUGGCCGGUCCCAUAAGAAAAUUAGUUCCAACAAAAAAAGAUUGUUGUCGCGGUCACAUGUACUAUACUCUACGCCUCCUGAAGAUGUGCAUUAGUGGUUGGCUGUUAUAAUACAUAUAUGUAAGAUUUCAUGUUAUACCAGCUUAGCAGAACUUCACGGAAAUUUGCUAGGUGUUGCAACAGCCUUGAUCAAAUAUUAUUUUCAUUAUUCCUUCUUGGUUUGAGACAAUAACAGUAGAUAAUCUUCAUCGAAAUUUGCUAGAGAAGUUCCAACAGCUUUGAUCAAAUAUUAUUUUUAUUAUUCCUUCUUGGUUUUAGACAAUAAAGUAGAGAAUCUAAAUACUUCUACUUUAUGUGUACUUGUAAUAGAGCAACGCUUGGUGCAGCUAGCUGCAACAGGGACCAACUUGACUUGAUGGGGAUACAAUCACCAAGAAAGAAUCAUACCUGAACUUACCUUUAUGCAUUGCACGAACUACCAAGAUAUUGUAUCUUCCUGUAUGAUCCGUAACUCAUAGACACAUGAGUAGCGAUGGAUACUAUUUGGAUUGAGCGAUCUGGCAUGUAAGCUUAGCUCGGUGGUUCAGAUUAUCACUGUUAGUCUUCUGCUCGUGGCAAUUUUUUAGACCUCUUGAGUUAUCUCAACGAAUCUGGUGUGAAGCUAUGAAGGGAUUUUUCUUGAAAACAAUACUGAAAGGAUACCUUAACUUCAUUUAUUUGUUUUAGAUGUAUAGCUUGCAUGACAGUUUUGUUUAAACAGCUUUUUUGGGCAUUUUGCAAUUCUCACAUAUGUUGUUACCCCUGCACUUACUUUUAUCAUUUCCAGUGUCAAUGUUUACAAAAUUGUUAAAUCUUUUUUUAUUGGAGUUCAGCCAUGUUUUCCACCAA
Molecule: non-coding RNA, 3871 nt
Organism: Aegilops tauschii subsp. strangulata
Lineage: Eukaryota; Viridiplantae; Streptophyta; Magnoliopsida; Poales; Poaceae
Source: RefSeq, a predicted model, not a curated record